This is a non-coding RNA of Eubacterium sp. CAG:581, 96 nucleotides long. The record is from Rfam. NCBI's taxonomy places the organism in Bacteria, Bacillati, Bacillota, Clostridia, Eubacteriales, Eubacteriaceae.
UUCUUAUCAAGAGCGACUGAGGGACAGGCCCUAUGAAGUCCGGCAACCUGCGAAAAGCAAGGUGCUAAUUCCUGCGGUAUAACCGAAAGAUGAGUA